RNAcentral lists this long non-coding RNA (213 nucleotides) under Elaeis guineensis (African oil palm). RNAcentral describes it as "long non-coding RNA (EGUI_LNC059390)". Lineage: Eukaryota; Viridiplantae; Streptophyta; Magnoliopsida; Arecales; Arecaceae. The record is from RNAcentral.
AAAUAUAUAAAAAUCAUCUUUAUUAAUUUUUAGAAUAAAUUAUGGACAUAUAUAAAUGAUUGGAAUGAAAAAGUUCUUUAUUGAUAAUUAAAAAAUUAUAAGUACAAGUUUAGACCCUGAAAAUACAUAAUGUGUCAGCCAACAAUUUACUUCUAAGAUACAAAUCUAACACUUCUUGGGAAGAAGAGUCUUCCAUGACGAGAAAAAAGUUGG